This 204-nucleotide long non-coding RNA is filed under the name Elaeis guineensis (African oil palm). RNAcentral's name for it is "long non-coding RNA (EGUI_LNC031979)". Lineage: Eukaryota; Viridiplantae; Streptophyta; Magnoliopsida; Arecales; Arecaceae. The record is from RNAcentral.
CUCGUGUCAGAUACCAAGCUCUGAGGUUGAUCUUAUAUAGUUGAAAAGCCCUAGUUCUUCUCUUUAGAAUAAAUGAAGAAAAAAUGCUCCUUCCAUCGAUGGAUGGAGGAAGGAGUUCCUUGGAUCAGGAGAAGCCCUCUUCAAGGAGAGACAUACCACUUAUCCUGCUUUAUCAAAUGCUUCUUUAGAGUGAAACAAGCCCCA